Long non-coding RNA from Antechinus flavipes (yellow-footed antechinus), 3589 nucleotides. RefSeq lists it as uncharacterized. The record is from RefSeq and is a predicted model, not a curated record. NCBI's taxonomy places the organism in Eukaryota, Metazoa, Chordata, Mammalia, Dasyuromorphia, Dasyuridae. The transcript is spliced from 4 exons.
CCCAUUCUGGGAUUGGAUGUGAGAAUGAUUUCUAAUAGAAACAAAUAGAUUUAUUCCUUUAGUCAAUAAUAGCUUUUUCUUAGACAAAUGGCAGUUUUUGGAAACAGAGUUCUCAUUCACAUUUGGGUUCAUUUUUUUAUAUCUUUGAGUCCUUUAAUAUGUUUCAAAUAUCAGAAACUAUGAAUAAAAGGAAAAGAGAGAUGAAUGUUAAAAUUUCAAUCAAUACCAGCAAGGUGGAUUAACAAAACAAGUGCCAAGAAGAUAAUAUAAGUUCUUCUGCUAAAGGUCAUAGCAUCACCUCCCUGAUAUAAAGGUACUCUUGGAGAACAAAGGACAAACAAGAACAAAAACAACUAGAUGUUGUAUCCCCACUACUUGACUGUCCACUCAAAGGAAGGCGCUUUUCAUCUUUUCAUCCUGACCACCAAACAAUUGGCACUGGAAAGAACAGUACUAUUCAAAUCCAUGGAACAGGGAAAAGGACUCAUCUGUGUAAAAGUGUUUGUAGCAGCUCUUUUCUAAUGGCAAAAGACUGGAAACUGGGAGAAUGCCCAUCAUUUGGAUAAUGGCUGAAUAAGUUUUGGUAUAUGAAUGUUAUGGAAUAUUAUCAUUCUAUAAGAAAUGAUAAGCAAGAUGAUUUCAGAGAGGCCUGGAAAGAUUUACAUGAACUGAUGCUGAGUGAAAUGAGUAGAACCAGGAGAACAUUGCACACAGCAACAAGAUUAAAGAUGAUCAAUUCUGAUGAACGUGGUUCAACAAUGAGAUGAUUCAGGCCAAUUCCAAUGGUUUUGUGAUGAAGAGAGCCACCUAUACCCAGAGAGAGGACUAUGGGAACUGAGUGUGGGUCACAACAUAGUAUUUUCCCUUUUUUGUUGUUGGUUGGCUUGCAUUUUUUUCUCUCUCUUUUUUUCCUUUUUGAUCUGAGUUCUCUUGUACAGCAUGGUAAUUGUGGAAAUAUGUAUAGAAGAAUUGCAUACAUUUAACAUAUUGGAUUACUUGCCAUCUAGAGAAGGGGGUAGGAGGAAAAGAGGGAAAAAAAUCUGGGACACAAGGUUUUGCAAAGGUGAAUGCUGAAAAGGAUCUACUCAUGUGUUUUGAAAAUAAAAAUAGCCUUAAUCAAAGCAGGAGAAAGUUUUUUCCCUACCCCAUUAAUUGUCCAUUUCCCCUCUUAAUGAUUCUACUUAAUUAUUUUGAUGGGUAACUUAUUUGUGUUUAUAAUAUUAGCUCUUUUGCCUUCUGGACUGUCAUUUCCCUUUAAUAUGGAAUGCGCUAAAUUUUCUAUGAUCCUGAUUGUGACUACAUGAUAUUGAAAUUGUAUCUUUCCCAUUGCUUGCAACGUUUUCUCCUUGACCUGGGAGAUGUAGAUUUUGGGUAUAAUAUUCCUGGGAAUCUUCAUUUGGGGAUUUCUUUCAAGAGAUGAUUGGUGGAUUCUUUCAAUUUCUAUUUUAAUCUCUAGUUUUAGGAUAUCAAGGCAGUUUUCUUUGAUAAUUUCUUGAAAUAUGGUAUCUAACCUCUUUUUUGAUUGUGGCUUUCAAGAAGUUCAAUCAUUUUAAAAUUAUGAGCCAUUGGUCAAUUUUCUAGGUCAGUUAAGUUUUUUUUCCCCAAUUAGAUACUUCAUACUUCUUCUAUUUUUUUAUUAUUCUGCCUUUCUUUUUAUUAUUUCUUGGUAGCUCAUGGAUUUAUUAGCUUUAACUUGCCCAAUUCUAAUUGUUGAGAACUUAUUUUCUUUUACCAUUAGGCCAAUUUAAAGGUGUUAUUUCCUUAAUUAUAUUUUUAUUUCUUUUACUAAGCUAGUAACUCUAUUGUCAUAAUUUUUCCGCAUCACCCUCUUUUCAGAAAGUUGAAUGGAUUUUCUGCAAUGUACUUAAUUGAAAGACAUGUCCAAAGUCAGGAAGAAUGGGCAGAAAUAGAUCUAUUUUAAUUUUCAUUAUUGGAGAGAAUACUCCUAUAAAUAAGAUCAGAGAUCCAUUUGAAGAUCAUAAUAUUUCUUAGGAUUUUUUUUGAGGGGGUUAUGGUAAGACAAUUGUUUUACUUCUAUUAUCACAUUUGAAUCUCACAAUAACCUUCUGAGAAAAGUCUUAUAGAGAUAAUUAUAUCUCUUUCACAAAGGAAGAAACUCUUAGAGAAGUUAAAUGACUUUCCUAUAGGUACAAAGUUAGGACAUAUUAUAGUUAAAAUAAAAACCCAAGACUUUAAUUUCAAGUCAAACUAUCUAUUAGGCCCCACUGACUUUUGUCUUCUAUAUCUGAGGAUUCAAGCUGACCUUAAAAACUCUGUUCUAGAAGUUAAAAUUUCUCUAAAUGAAGCCAUGAAUUUUCUUGUGCAUUUGCAGAGAAAGAAAUCCCUUUAUGAAUUAAAAAAAAAUUCUUGGAGUGUUGGUUUAUUGGAACAUCAUUUUUCAAAAGAAUUCAGGGUACUCACUUUAAGGGACAAUCAAAACUUUCUUCUUUCCCCUCUUUCAUUUAAUUUCAAUAAUUGUCCACAAAGAAAGCAUACAGGAAGCAUAAAAGUUUCACAUCCCAUGGCAAAAGCAAUUUGGCCACUUAUAGCUUUCUCUCUUAGGAGUCAUAGUCAUGAUCACCAAAUCUGCAAGAAAUAAAGUUGACUAGAUAAAUACGGAAUUGCAUUUCAUAUGGGAAAGGUUGCUUUGCAUUUCCUGAUUUUUAUAGGGAAUAUGUUUUCAAGGGAGAAAAAAAACCCAAACUUGUAUCUACAUAUUUCUACUUGGUGAAGAGGAGCACUGAAACUGUAGGCAUAAAUGAAAUGAUCCUGUCACAUGUUUCAUAUUUGCAUUCCAAUCAUUGAGGACCCAGACCAUUUGGGAUGCAAAUAAAAAUACUUUCCCUGUCUGUGCAAUCUCAAUACUCAAGUUACAUUAAAUUGUAGAGUUGACUUCCCUGAAUAUAAAUGCUUAAGGACUUGGCUCGAUCCAUUUAUAGGUCACCAUUAAAUAGGAUGGUACUCUAUACCCACACUGCUAUGAAGAAGUCAUGAAUAUUUUCAAGAUGAAACUAUCCAUGUUUAGUUUCCAUCUGACGGAUUUUUAAUAAAGAAGUCUGCUGGCUCUUAUUCAUUACUAAAAAUAUUGCUGAACUAUGAGAAAUGCAUUUACUUAUCAACUGGAAGUAUUAUCCUAAGAGGAAAACAUUUUCCACAGUUGGAAUAUAAUGAAAAGUGUUUCUUCUUGAAAAUGUCCCAGUAGAAUGGCCUCUAUUCCAGUAGGUAAGGAUUGGAAAGAGUUAGAGCAAAGGGGGAAGAAGUUGUCUUUUAUAGAAAAGUAGUUAAGUCAAGAUGUCUUCAAACGCCUUUCACAUCAUCAAACUAGAUUUAAGCACGCGUUUAAGGAAUUUUUGUUUUUGUACUGUUUAAGCAAAGAAAGAGCAUUUGUAAUUCUUGGUUAUCUUUAUAUCUUUUUGAUGAUACUGCCUGGCAUACUUUUGAAUAUUAGGAAUACCUUUUAAGUUGAAUGAAAUUGUACUUUCCAUUCUGUUCCAACCAUUAACUAAAUCAUGAAUUAACAAGAGAAUUAAUAACUUAGUAAAAGAAACAAAAUUAUAAUGAAAAAAAAGAAUAAUUCUUUUCUAGAGAA